This 1058-nucleotide ribosomal RNA is filed under the name uncultured Cryobacterium sp. Its description in RNAcentral is "bacterial SSU rRNA". It matches the Rfam family "Bacterial small subunit ribosomal RNA", at positions 337 to 1393 of the family's 1533-position model. Lineage: Bacteria; Bacillati; Actinomycetota; Actinomycetes; Micrococcales; Microbacteriaceae. The record is from RNAcentral.
UCCUACGGGAGGCAGCAGUGGGGAAUAUUGCACAAUGGGCGCAAGCCUGAUGCAGCAACGCCGCGUGAGGGACGAAGGCCUUCGGGUUGUAAACCUCUUUUAGUAGGGAAGAAGCGACUGGGUUUUCCUGGGAGUGACGGUACCUGCAGAAAAAGCACCGGCUAACUACGUGCCAGCAGCCGCGGUAAUACGUAGGGUGCAAGCGUUGUCCGGAAUUAUUGGGCGUAAAGAGCUCGCAGGCGGUUUGUCGCGUCUGCUGUGAAAACCCGAGGCUCAACCUCGGGCCUGCAGUGGGUACGGGCAGACUAGAGUGCGGUAGGGGAGAUUGGAAUUCCUGGUGUAGCGGUGGAAUGCGCAGAUAUCAGGAGGAACACCAAUGGCGAAGGCAGAUCUCUGGGCCGUAACUGACGCUGAGGAGCGAAAGCAUGGGGAGCGAACAGGAUUAGAUACCCUGGUAGUCCAUGCCGUAAACGUUGGGAACUAGAUGUGGGGACCAUUCCACGGUCUCCGUGUCGCAGCUAACGCAUUAAGUUCCCCGCCUGGGGAGUACGGCCGCAAGGCUAAAACUCAAAGGAAUUGACGGGGGCCCGCACAAGCGGCGGAGCAUGCGGAUUAAUUCGAUGCAACGCGAAGAACCUUACCAAGGCUUGACAUAUACCGGAAACGGCUGGAAACAGUCGCCCCGCAAGGUCGGUAUACAGGUGGUGCAUGGUUGUCGUCAGCUCGUGUCGUGAGAUGUUGGGUUAAGUCCCGCAACGAGCGCAACCCUCGUCCUAUGUUGCCAGCACGUAAUGGUGGGAACUCAUGGGAUACUGCCGGGGUCAACUCGGAGGAAGGUGGGGAUGACGUCAAAUCAUCAUGCCCCUUAUGUCUUGGGCUUCACGCAUGCUACAAUGGCCGGUACAAAGGGCUGCGAUACCGCAAGGUGGAGCGAAUCCCAAAAAGCCGGUCUCAGUUCGGAUUGAGGUCUGCAACUCGACCUCAUGAAGUCGGAGUCGCUAGUAAUCGCAGAUCAGCAACGCUGCGGUGAAUACGUUCCCGGGCCUUGUACACACCGC